AGCAGCCGCGGUAAUUCCAGCUCCAAUAGCGUAUAUUAAAGUUGUUGCAGUUAAAAAGCUCGUAGUUGAAUUUCGGGGUUAGUAGGUUGGUCAUGCCUCUGGUAUGUACUGGUCUCACUGAUUCCUCCUUCCUGAUGAGCCGUAAUGCCAUUAAUUUGGUGUUGUGGGGAAUUUAGACUGUUACUUUGAAAAAAAUUUAGAGUGUUUAAAGCAGGCCCACGCUUGAAUACAUUAGCAUGGAAUAAUGAAAUAGGACGUUUGAUUCUAUUUUGUUGGUUUCUAGGAUCGACGUAAUGAUUAAUAGGGAUAGUUGGGGGCAUUAGUAUUCAAUUGUCAGAGGUGAAAUUCUUGGAUUUAUUGAAGACUAACUACUGCGAAAGCAUUUGCCAAGGAUGUUCUCAUUAAUCAAGAACGAAAGUUAGGGGAUCGAAGACGAUCAGAUACCGUCGUAGUCUUAACCAUAAACUAUGCCGACUAGGGAUCGGAUGAUGUUAAUUUUUUAAUGACUCAUUCGGCGCCU
RNAcentral lists this ribosomal RNA (520 nucleotides) under uncultured Glomus. RNAcentral's name for it is "SSU rRNA". It matches the Rfam family "Eukaryotic small subunit ribosomal RNA", at positions 569 to 1088 of the family's 1831-position model. Lineage: Eukaryota; Fungi; Glomeromycota; Glomeromycetes; Glomerales; Glomeraceae. The record is from RNAcentral.